UACGAGGGGGGCAAGUGUUGUUCGGAAUUACUGGGCGUAAAGGGAGCGUAGGCGGGUGCUUAAGUUGGAUGUUUAAAACCGGGGCCCAACCCCGGCGUGGCAUUCAAAACUGGGCAUCUUGAGUGGGACAGAGGCCAGUGGAAUUGGAGGUGUAGCGGUGAAAUGCGUAGAUAUCGGGAGGAACACCUGUGGCGAAAGCGGCGCACUGGACCAUAACUGACGCUGAGGCGCGAAAGCUAGGGGAGCAAACAGG
RNAcentral lists this ribosomal RNA (253 nucleotides) under uncultured bacterium. RNAcentral describes it as "partial 16S ribosomal RNA". It matches the Rfam family "Bacterial small subunit ribosomal RNA", at positions 524 to 776 of the family's 1533-position model. The record is from RNAcentral.